This is a long non-coding RNA of Dalotia coriaria, 1247 nucleotides long. RefSeq lists it as uncharacterized. The record is from RefSeq and is a predicted model, not a curated record. The transcript has 17 exons. Lineage: Eukaryota; Metazoa; Arthropoda; Insecta; Coleoptera; Staphylinidae.
CGCACAGUUCCUUCAUUAUUCUUGAGUUGCUAAAUGCUUCUUCGAUUGUACGUGAUUGAUAUGUCGAGUUCGUACCACGCGGAUUGUACUCGUACGUACUCAGAGGUAAAGCGUGAUGCACCGUCGGCCAUCAUAGUCGUAUUCUUUUUGUAUUAUACGCGUAUUUCAUCGGUUCUACUAAAUUGGUAUGUUCCAUUAAGUAUUCGCCGUACCAUGUAGUUCUGCAUUAACAUUAACAUAAACGUUAACGCUACCCUCCUACGGUGCCCUGAAUGGAAGUCACUUCUACCGCUACCCUCGACUAGUUUUUGAUGGUUUUUGGGAUUUUGCACUUGAGUCAGACAUCAUAGAAGGACCAUUCUUUCAUUAGAGUGGAUUUUGCAUCCGAGUCUGACAUCGAAGUAGGACAAUUCUUGCAUCAGAUUGGAUUUUGCACCUGAGUCUGACAUCGUAAAAGGACCAUUCUUGCAUCAGAUUGGAUUUUGCACUUGAGUCUGACAUCGUAGAAGGACCAUUCUUGCAUCAGAUUGGAUUUUGCACCUGAGUCUGACAUCGUAGAAGGACCAUUCUUGCAUCAGAUUGGAUUUUGCACCUGAGUCUGACAUCGUAGAAGGACCAUUCUUGCAUCAGAUUGACUAAUGUUUGAUGGUUUUAGUGAUUUUGCACUUGAAUCUGACAUCGUAGAAAGACCAUUCUUGCAUCAGAUUGGAUUUUGCACCUGAGUCUGACAUCGUAGAAGGACCAUUCUUGCCGCAGAUUGGAUUUUGCACUUGAGUCUGACAUCGUAGAAGGACCAUUUUUGCAUCAGAUUGGAUUUUGCACCUGAGUCUGACAUCGUAGAAGGACCAUUCUUGCCGCAGAUUGGAUUUUGCACCUGAGUCUGACAUCGUAGAAGGACCAUUUUUGCAUCAGAUUGGAUUUUGCACCUGAGUCUGACAUCGUAGAAGGACCAUUUCUGCAUCAGAUUGGAUUUUGCACCUGAGUCUGACAUCGUAGAAGGACCAUUUUUGCAUCAGAUUGGAUUUUGCACCUGAGUCUGACAUCGUAGAAGGACCAUUCUUGCAUCAGAUUGAAAGGAUUUUGCACCUGACUCUGACAUCGUAGAAGGACCAUUCUUGCAUCAGAUUGUUAGUUUUAAAGUUCAUUAUCUUAAAUAACCUUUGUGAUUAUUAUACAAAUUGACUCCCAAAAUUUAUGCUUCUGUGUUUUCUUUAAUAAAGAAUAUUUUUAAGUUUUUCUAAUCAAAA